GAGUUUGAUCAUGGCUCAGAACGAACGCUGGCGGCGUGCCUAACACAUGCAAGUCGAACGAAGCGCUUGAAUGGAAUUCUUCGGAAGGAAGCUCGAGUGACUGAGUGGCGGACGGGUGAGUAACGCGUGGGUAACCUGCCUUGUACAGGGGGAUAACAGUCAGAAAUGGCUGCUAAUACCGCAUAAGCGCACAGAGCUGCAUGGCUCAGUGUGAAAAACUCCGGUGGUAUAAGAUGGACCCGCGUUGGAUUAGCUGGUUGGUGGGGUAACGGCUCACCAAGGCGACGAUCCAUAGCCGGCCUGAGAGGGUGAACGGCCACAUUGGGACUGAGACACGGCCCAGACUCCUACGGGAGGCAGCAGUGGGGAAUAUUGCACAAUGGGGGAAACCCUGAUGCAGCGACGCCGCGUGAAGGAAGAAGUAUCUCGGUAUGUAAACUUCUAUCAGCAGGGAAG
Molecule: ribosomal RNA, 456 nt
Filed under: uncultured Clostridia bacterium
Lineage: Bacteria; Bacillati; Bacillota; Clostridia
Description: bacterial SSU rRNA
Rfam family: Bacterial small subunit ribosomal RNA
Source: RNAcentral